GAGGGCAUAGCUCAGUGGUGGAGUUUAUGCCUAGCAUGCAUGAGGUCCUGGGUUCAAUUCCUAGUACCUCCA
This is a transfer RNA of Camelus ferus (Wild Bactrian camel), 72 nucleotides long. It matches the Rfam family "tRNA". Rfam says of the family: Transfer RNA (tRNA) molecules are approximately 80 nucleotides in length. Their secondary structure includes four short double-helical elements and three loops (D, anti-codon, and T loops). Further hydrogen bonds mediate the characteristic L-shaped molecular structure. tRNAs have two regions of fundamental functional importance: the anti-codon, which is responsible for specific mRNA codon recognition, and the 3' end, to which the tRNAs corresponding amino acid is attached (by aminoacyl-tRNA synthetases). tRNAs cope with the degeneracy of the genetic code in two manners: having more than one tRNA (with a specific anti-codon) for a particular amino acid; and 'wobble' base-pairing, i.e. permitting non-standard base-pairing at the 3rd anti-codon position. The record is from Rfam. NCBI's taxonomy places the organism in Eukaryota, Metazoa, Chordata, Mammalia, Artiodactyla, Camelidae.